GUCAUUUGUCUUUCCUACAUGUAUUUUUUCUGUGGGCUUUUUUCCUCCUCUCUUUUGCUGUAUUUGUUUUUGUGGGAGAGUUAGGGACCUUCCAAAACCAUGAAGCUGUCACCUUCUUCCUUCCUUUGCCUAAUUUUUAAAUGAUCACAGGCUGCUCCAGCAACGAUGCGUGUCAAGAAUGUAUGGGGAGACUGGAAGAACAGACAUGAAGCUACUGCUAUGGUGAGCUUUGCUUCUUCAGGAUAUUUUCAUUCUGCGAAGAGCUGCUCUCACUGACCAGAAAAUAAUGCCACAAACAACUUCAGCAACAUCCUUACUACGGCCCAUGAUCCCACUGGAAGUGAAAGCAUUGUUUCCUGUUGCUCAAGUAGAAAUAUCUUAAGGACGGUGGUUUCUGGAGACACUAAGAUGAUCUUCUUGCAGACUGACAGGCAUCUAGAUAUUUUCCCACCAUUCCAAUUCUUUCUUCACCUGAGAAGAGAGAGAAUCCAUUAUUUGUCCUAUUGCUUUUGAUAUAUGGUUUGAAGUCUCUAGCCAUUCUGCUAAAGAAGAUAAUUUUUAUGCACUUAAUAAAUGGAAGAAAACAUC
This 588-nucleotide long non-coding RNA is filed under the name Homo sapiens (human). Its description in RNAcentral is "HSALNT0323093". The record is from RNAcentral. Lineage: Eukaryota; Metazoa; Chordata; Mammalia; Primates; Hominidae.